This 973-nucleotide small RNA is filed under the name uncultured fungus. RNAcentral describes it as "eukaryotic LSU rRNA". The stretch from base 541 to 973 matches the Rfam family "Eukaryotic large subunit ribosomal RNA", at positions 1 to 429 of the family's 3401-position model. The record is from RNAcentral. Lineage: Eukaryota; Fungi.
UCCGUAGGUGAACCUGCGGAAGGAUCAUUAAAACAAUAAUGAAUGUCGGGGGAGGGCGCUUCGGUGCUCUUACCCGUGUAUUCAACCAAACCCGCUCGUGUAUUUGGAUCAAAAAAACAAACAAAAUUUUUAACGAUAAUAAUUUAAACAAACUUUCAACAACGGAUCUCUUGGCUCUCGCAUCGAUGAAGAACGCAGCGAAAUGCGAUAAGUAGUGUGAAUUGCAGAACUUUGUGAACCAUCGAAUCUUUGAACGCAAAUUGCGCCUUCUUUCGGGAGGCAUGUCUGUUUGAGGGCACCAUUUAACAAAUAAUGUGCGCGUCGUUUUUACGAGCGAUGUGCACACGUUGAUGAGCUUUUCCGAAAAAACCAGGUUUUUUUGGUGGCGCAUAAUGAACAGCGUGGGCUUUUUCUUCGAUUCUCGUGUAGUAAAUCUUCAACGCUCGGGUUGAGAAAAAGUGCGUGCCGCGCAAUGGGUGUGGCGAAUUUUACCCCUGCCCCAAUGCCACUCUUUCCCUGCGAAAGAACAUCUUUUAUUCAGGGCCUCAAAUCAGACAAGAGUACCCGCUGAACUUAAGCAUAUCAAUAAGCGGAGGAAAAGAAACUAACAAGGAUUCCCCUAGUAACGGCGAGUGAAGCGGGAACAGCUCAAAUUUUAAAUCUGGCUGCUUUGUAGUCCGAGUUGUAAUUUGAAGGAGUCUUGCCGCUGGCAAAACGAUGGCACAAGUCCUCUGGAACGGGGCAUCGUAGAGGGUGAGAAUCCCGUCUCUGGUCAUCACGCGCUGGCAUACGGCAGGCAUCCGAAGAGUCGAGUUGUUUGGGAUUGCAGCUCCAAAUGGGUGGUAAACUCCAUCUAAGGCUAAAUAUUGGCGAGAGACCGAUAGCGAACAAGUACCGUGAGGGAAAGAUGAAAAGAACUUUGAAAAGAGAGUAAAACAGUACGUGAAAUUGUUGAAAGGGAAACGCUUGAAGU